AUUGGUGACCUAUAUCUUUUAUUAUUUUUUUCAAAUAAGCUGCACUUAAACUAAACUAUUGUAAAAUUUAAGGGAUUUCUGUAAUUUAGUUUGAUUUUUAUUUCGAUAUUACCUCUAUUUCUCCUAUUCAACAGAAACCAGGUGCUCCGCAGGGCGCAGCUUUAUACGACCGCAGAGGUCGAACCCUGAACAGUUGGGGCAAGUAUGGACAAAACAUUCAAG
Molecule: long non-coding RNA, 222 nt
Filed under: Mytilus galloprovincialis (Mediterranean mussel)
Lineage: Eukaryota; Metazoa; Mollusca; Bivalvia; Mytilida; Mytilidae
Source: RNAcentral